CACACACACACACACACACGGAGCUGCAGCCGAGCUGCUAGAUAGAAGGGGAUAGAUUGAGGGCGACUCUCUGGGGGCAGACUUUAGCCGACUGGCGAAAUGCGUGUUACUAGUCCUCACAAACAAAAUCAUGGCAGGGCUCAAUAUGGAUGGUGGCAAUGGCAAGGGUGCCUUUAGAGGAAUGACCCUUUGCAAGGUCAUGAUUGAAGCCAUUCUGAGGACACAGCCUGGGGCAACUGAGGCAGCUGUUGUGUCCCGAAUUGGGGCAUACCUUAGAUCGGCACCUGACAGGAAAGGUGGUGGUGGACAAAAGACUGCUGACACUAAUGCAGCUGUUAGUGCCUGUUAAUGUUGAAAACAUCUGUUGAUGUUGGAAAGAGUUUUGUACUCUAAAUAGAAAAUAAAAAUUGUUCUUAUUUUGUUCAUACAUGUAUGCUUGAUCAUUGAGAGAUAUUCCCAGGUGGAAACUGCUGUAGCAAAAGCAAAUGAAGGACUGUCACUCAAUAUAGACAAGGUUAUGUGCAUGUAAUACUGCAAAACUGCAAGGGUCUCGUCUUGUAUUGCUUUGUAUUAGAAUCACAGGAGCUUCAUCAUCUUUAAAUCCUGACAGAGAUCUUUUAGUCAGUUUCGUGAGACUAAGAGUAAGACAAUUCUUUCAAUACUAGAUUGAAAUUGAAAUUAUGUCAAAAUAACAUCAGUAUCAUAUGGCCGAAAGUUUAAAGAAUCGCAUUGAAACAACGUCAAAAUUACAUCAAUAUCAAUAUUUGACUGAAAGAUAAAGGAAUCUUAACAUUGAAGCAAUAUCAAAAUAACAUUAAUUUGGUCAUUAUUUGGCUGAAAUUUGACAUCAAUCAAAUUCAUGUCAAAGUUUGACAUCAUGUUGAUUUACGUUUUUGACCAAAUCAGAAUGUAAUUUUGACAUCAAUGAAUGACAUCAACUUGAUGUUGCAUUGACAUCAGAUGCCCACUGGGAAGGUAACUCUGACUUUCUAGUGCAGGGGUCACCAACUAUAUUUGCCAGAGGGCCAGAAUUUUACCGGACAGUCACUUUGGGGGCCGGACCCUCAAACAAAAAUUAAAUAAAAAUCGAAUUUUGGCAUAACAUUAUUAUUUGCUGUUUAAUUUUUAUAUUUUUUCCAUUUCAUUACAAAACUGAAGGCAUUUUUAGCCUUUAUGAGUCAGUGCUCCUAUCACCUGUACCACAGUCAACCACUAGGAGUGAUAGAGAUAUUUUGCCUCAUCUCAAGUCAACUUUAUUCACAGAACACUUGAAAAAGAAGCACCGCAGAAGUGACAGGAAAGGGCCUCUUAACACGGGUAAAAUGGCACUCUCUAAGGCCACGAAACGAAAAGUUGAUGUGGAAAACAGAUCCUUUAAUAAUGACUGGACUGACUGCUUUAAUAGUGUGGACCACAUGAUAUUGUAUAACGUACACAUGCAGAACGCACACCUGUGCUCAGUGCAAGGUCAUUUUGUUUGUGGGUUCAUCUAUAUUAAAUGGUCACAUUCUAUGCUGUCAUGAUUUCUGCCACAAAUUUUUUCAAGUCUCAGCUGUGACAAAUCAUACAACGACUGAGCAGCCUUGGCAGAGUGCUGUACUCUCUGAAUGCUUUUCAUAUCAAAGUUUUAAAUCUAAAUCUGGAGAUCUUGUAUUGUCUGUACAAAAAAAAAAAAAUAGAAACCUGACCAGAUGCUCAGAGUACACAGGAAAAGAAUUUGUAAUUUUAACCGUGUAAAACUGUCAAACCAUGAUGUAAAAAUUUGUAAACUCUGAAACAGUUUGACACCUUUUAUAUGACAUGAAAUCACCAUAAACGUGUUAAUCAAGAGAAAAAAUGUUAAACAUUUCUCUACUGGGGAGUGUGAUUGUCUGUCUGUAUAUGUACCUUUGUGACAGACUGGUGACCUGUCCAGGGUGUCCCCUGCCUUUGCCUGAGUCAGCUGGGAUAGACUCCAGCACCCCCCAUGACCCUAGUGAGGAUAAAGCGGUGUAUAGAGAAUGGAUGGAUGGAUUUCUCUACUGUGUAUAACAUCAAUACUGUAAUAUUUGCAUUUAUUUCUUUGAAAUAAUACAUUUUUUCACUGCUAAAUGUAUAUAUUGUUGUGCUAAUAAUGAAAACAUGCUGUAAUAUUAAUAAAAAAGACACUUUUGCAUUGA
Acanthochromis polyacanthus (spiny chromis) is the source of this 2159-nucleotide long non-coding RNA. RefSeq lists it as uncharacterized. The record is from RefSeq and is a predicted model, not a curated record. The transcript is spliced from 3 exons. Lineage: Eukaryota; Metazoa; Chordata; Actinopteri; Pomacentridae.